This is a long non-coding RNA of Octopus sinensis (East Asian common octopus), 243 nucleotides long. RefSeq lists it as uncharacterized. Lineage: Eukaryota; Metazoa; Mollusca; Cephalopoda; Octopoda; Octopodidae. The transcript is spliced from 3 exons. The record is from RefSeq and is a predicted model, not a curated record.
AUGUCUUUGUUGAAAGUUCUGCUGCGGCUUUCCACAAAUAGGAACAGCAAAAUAACCCUGGUCAUACUCUGUUCGUUCUUCUCUCCUACACUGAAUCUAGAUGAUACACUAACUCUUGAACCAAAGAUUUUGUCAUUGGACUGUGGACAUGCUGGGGCACCACAGUUAUAAUGACUGAGAAGAACAGAGAACAUAAUUUAAAUGUAAGGAUACACAGAAGGAGAUGCUGAAAUGUUCCUGGCU